GACAGGGGUCCCGAGCGUUAGGCGGAAUCACUGGGCUUAAAGCGUGUGUAGGCGGAUUUGUAAGUACCUUGUGAAAUCCCACGGCUCACCCGUGGAACUGCUCGGUAUACUGGGUCGCUUGAGCCACUUAGGGGCUACCGGAACAAAUGGUGGAGCGGUGAAAUGCGUAGAUAUCAUUUGGAACGCCAAUGGUGAAAACAGGUAGCUGGGAGUGUGCUGACGCUGAGACACGAAAGCCAGGGGAGCAAACGGG
RNAcentral lists this ribosomal RNA (253 nucleotides) under uncultured bacterium. RNAcentral describes it as "partial 16S ribosomal RNA". It matches the Rfam family "Bacterial small subunit ribosomal RNA", at positions 524 to 776 of the family's 1533-position model. The record is from RNAcentral.